Molecule: ribosomal RNA, 431 nt
Filed under: uncultured bacterium
Lineage: Bacteria
Description: partial 16S ribosomal RNA
Rfam family: Bacterial small subunit ribosomal RNA
Source: RNAcentral
AACGAACGCUGGCGGCAGGCUUAACACAUGCAAGUCGAGCGCCCCGCAAGGGGAGCGGCAGCCGGGUGAGUAACGCGUGGGAACGUACCUUUUGGUUCGGAACAACUCCGGGAAACUGGAGCUAAUACCGGAUACGCCCUAACGGGGAAAGAUUUAUCGCCGAACGAUCGGCCCGCGUCUGAUUAGCUAGUUGGUGAGGUAACGGCUCACCAAGGCGACGAUCAGUAGCUGGUCUGAGAGGAUGAUCAGCCACACUGGGACUGAGACACGGCCCAGACUCCUACGGGAGGCAGCAGUGGGGAAUAUUGGACAAUGGGCGCAAGCCUGAUCCAGCCAUGCCGCGUGAGUGAUGAAGGCCUUAGGGUUGUAAAGCUCUUUUGUCCGGGAAGAUAAUGACUGUACCGGAAGAAUAAGCCCCGGCUAACUUCGUG